Molecule: ribosomal RNA, 300 nt
Filed under: uncultured Lactobacillus sp.
Lineage: Bacteria; Bacillati; Bacillota; Bacilli; Lactobacillales; Lactobacillaceae
Description: bacterial SSU rRNA
Rfam family: Bacterial small subunit ribosomal RNA
Source: RNAcentral
GUGAAGUCGGUGACAUCGGGCGGGGUGAGACGGGGGGGGCGCGCGUUGUGCGGAAUUAUUGGGCGCAAGGCGCGGGCAGGCGGCGCCUUAAUUGUGAUGUAGAAUGCCCCGCCGCAACCGGGGAGGGCCAUUGGAAAUUGGGAGGCGUGAGUAGAGGAGAGAAGCGUGGAAUGCCACGUGUAGAGGUGAAAUGCGUGGAGAUGUGGAGGAACACCAGUGGCGAGGGCGACUCUUUGGCCUAGAACUGACGCUGAGGCGCGAAAGCGGGGGGAGCAAACAGGAUUAGAUACCCUAGUAGUC